AUUGAACGCUGGCGGCAUGCUUUACACAUGCAAGUCGAACGGCAGCGCGGGCUUCGGCCUGGCGGCGAGUGGCGAACGGGUGAGUAAUGCAUCGGAACGUGCCCAGUAGUGGGGGAUAGCCCGGCGAAAGCCGGAUUAAUACCGCAUACGACCUGAGGGUGAAAGCGGGGGACCGAAAGGCCUCGCGCUAUUGGAGCGGCCGAUGUCGGAUUAGCUAGUUGGUGGGGUAAAGGCUUACCAAGGCGACGAUCCGUAGCUGGUCUGAGAGGACGACCAGCCACACUGGGAGUGAGACAGGGCCCAGACUCCUACGGGGGGAGGCGGGGGGGAAUUUGGGACAAUGGGGGCAACCCUAAUCCAGCCGUGCGGCGGGGGGAAAGAGGGCCUUGGGGUUGUAAACCGUUUUUGUUGGGGAAGAAAUCUUCGGGGCUAAUACCCGGGGGGGAUGACGGUACCGAAAAAAAAAGCACCGGCUAACUACGUG
RNAcentral lists this ribosomal RNA (484 nucleotides) under uncultured bacterium. RNAcentral describes it as "partial 16S ribosomal RNA". It matches the Rfam family "Bacterial small subunit ribosomal RNA", at positions 29 to 507 of the family's 1533-position model. The record is from RNAcentral.